Molecule: ribosomal RNA, 253 nt
Filed under: uncultured bacterium
Lineage: Bacteria
Description: partial 16S ribosomal RNA
Rfam family: Bacterial small subunit ribosomal RNA
Source: RNAcentral
UACAGAGGUCGCAAGCGUUGUUCGGAUUCAUUGGGCGUAAAGGGUGCGUAGGUGGCGAUGUAAGUCUGGUGUGAAAUCUCGGGGCUCAACCCCGAAAUUGCAUUGGAUACUGCGUUGCUUGAGGAUUGUAGAGGAGAGUGGAAUUCACGGUGUAGCAGUGAAAUGCGUAGAUAUCGUGAGGAAGACCAGUUGCGAAGGCGACUCUCUGGGCAAUUCCUGACACUGAGGCACGAAGGCCAGGGGAGCAAACGGG